AUCUUCUUCUUGUGGUUAAAACAAAACUAAAUGUGUUUUUUUUUUUUUUUUUUGAAAGGUCUAUGAUGUUGCUUUGUGUAUUGGAAGGCUCUUGUCAGAAUGGUCAUCUUGGAACACCCCAGGGACCUGUCUGAUCUCGUAUCCUGUCUCUGACAGAGGCAAAUACCACACGCUUUAAGCAAAGAUAAGCACUUUAUUGUGCAAUUCUCCAGCAUGAGGGAGGUAUCUUUGUGCCCCUCUGCCCUUGCAGUAGAAAACAAAGUAAACACCUCUCCAUAACUUGAUGGAGAAUACAUUUCAUUUAUGAGGAGAUGAAGCUACACAGAAUCCUAGAAAUGGCUAUAAGGCUGGAAGGGACCUCAAGAGAUCAUCUGGUCCAUUCUCUCUUCCCCCCUGCCUCCAACCCUAAUGAUGAGGCAGGAUUAAGUAUACCCUGACAGGCAUACGUUUAAGCUGUCCUUAAAAAAACCUCCAACCUCUCUAGGUAAUGGGUUCCAGCACUUAAACUUUCAAAUUCUAAGGAUAGUUUUCCUAAUAUCUAAUCUAAAUCUCUCUUGCUGCAAAUUAAGCUAGUUAAUUAUGUCCUACCCUCAGUGGACAUGAAGAACAAUUGAUCACUGUCCUAUUCAGAACAGUCUUGUCUACAUAUUUGAAGACUGUUAUCGUAUCCCCUCUCAGCCUUCUCUUUUCUAGACUAAACAUGCACAGUUCUUUCAAUCUUUUCUCAUAGUUCCAACCUCUUUUAGUUCCAAAUCAUGUUUUCUAAACCUCUUAUCGUUUUUGUUAUCCUCUCUGGACUCUCCAAUUUAGCCACGUCUUUUUUAAAAGAACGGCGCCUAAGACUGGACACGAGUCCAGCCAACGCCUCACCAGUGUUGAGUAGAGCAGAACAAUUAACUGCUAUUAGUACACCUCAGAAUGACACUUGCCUUUUUCACAAGAGCAUCACCCUGUUGACUCAUAUUCAGUGUAUGAUUCAUUAUAAUCCCUACGUCCUUUUCUGCAGUACAGCUGCCUAGCCAGUUAUUCCCCAUUUUGUGAUUGUACAUUUGAUUUGUUUCUUUGUCAGUGCAGCACUGUGCACUUGUCUUUUUAUUUAAUUUCAUCCUAUGGAUUUUAGACCAAUUCUCUGAUUUAUCAAGAUCAUUUUGAAUCCUAAUCCUGUCCUCCAUAGUGCUUGCAAUCCUUCCCAGCUUGAUUUCAUUUUCAGUUUUUUGAAGUCUACUCUCCUCUGUCGUCCAAAUCAUUAAUGAAAAUAUUGGAUAGUACCAGAUGAAAGACAGACCCCUGUGGGACCCCUCUAGAUACACCCUCUCAGUUUGACAUUGAACCAUUGAUAACUAAUGCUAAAAUUUAGUCAUGGAUAUUUUUAGUAAAAGUCAAAGACGCGUCAUUCAUAGGGCAAUGAACUAAAAUUCAUGGCCCUGUGACCUGUCCAUGACAUGUACUACAUACUCCUGACUAAAUCUAGGGUGCUCUGGGGCGCUCUGGGGGCACCGCUGGUGCCAGAACUGCUGCCAUUGCUGGAAGGGGGUGGGUAGUGGAGCUGGCCCCAGGGCCCUAGCUGCUCCAAUGGCCCUGGGGUCAGGCACAGCAGCAGGCCGCAGAAGUUCCAGAGGUCCCGGAAAGUCACAGAAUCUGUGACCUCCAGGACAGACUCGCAGCCUUAUUGAUAACUACUCUUUGAGUGUUGUCUUUCAACCAGUUGUGCAUCCACCUUACAGUAAUGCAUUUAGACCAUAUUUCCCAAGUUUACUUAUGAAAAUGUCAUAUGGGCAGAGGUGAAAGUAAGUUGGUCCGGUAUAGCGUACUGGUAAGAAAGCUGCUACGCAGCCAACCGCACUGGCAGGACCGCUGAUGGGGGCGUGGGGGUGGGGUGGGACAAAAGGAGCAGCUGCCCUGAGGCCUGGCGUUUUAAAAGGGACUGGGACUCCCAGCAGUAGCCAGAGCCCCUGGUCCUUUAAAUCGCUGCUCGAGCCCCGGGGCUCCCGGCUGCUGCUGCUGCUAUCCCAGGGCUCCAACAGUGAUUUAAAGGGCCUGGGGCUCCAGCCACUGCCACAGUAUCAGCUGGAGCCCCAGGCGGUGUGGGCUGGGCAGCGCUGAAGGGCUGGUUGCGGGAGUCUGGCCCCAGCCCCGUCCCUUCUGCCUUAGACCCUGUCCCUUCUGGGGGCCCAUAGCUGCCUCCCUAGGACCCUGGCCGCCCUGUGUACUGGUAAGUCCAUUAAGUUUCACCCCUGCAUAUGGGACGGUGUCAAAAGCCAAAAUCAUGAUUAAUACUACCCUGUAGUAUUUAGUAUGACUACAGUAGGUAGAGAACCUAAUUUCCUUGUGCAGUGAAACCCAAGAGUAUACUGACCAUGGUGGUUUAGUCACAUUUGUGCAUCACAUUAAAUUCUGGAAGAAACUGGAGGCAGUACUAAGCAGUGGCACUCUUAUUUUCAAGUUAAGCUUAGCCUCACAAAUUGUCAACCCUGUUUAUUAAGGAGGGACAGAGCAAGAUGGGGUUUAGUGCAAUACUUCCUUCCUUUUUCCUCGUCCAACUUACAUGCUUCUGUAAUGCUAUUUGUGGGGCACUAACCUCAAACCAGCAUAGUUUUGUAACAUGUACCUUUAUAAAAAGGAAUGGAAAUUUGGGAAAUGUGAAGCAGUAGAUGAUGUGUGUGCAUAUUGAAAUCUUUUUGCAUGCCACUUCAUACGCUGAUAUUACUUGCAGAAGGUGAAACGUCUGUUAAUCUUGUGGUCAAAAUACCAACUUGAUCAAUGUGGGAAUCAAAAACUAGAAGGCUGAUUCAUAGAUCAGAUUUGACUCUGUGAGCUGCUCUACGGUUCUCAGUCCUUGUAAGCGGAUGAGGAAGGUUACUACUAAUAGGGAUGUUCUUACAUCUUCAAAAGAUGAGGUGGAAAAGAGGAGCGACCCUGCCUCACUGAGUGAGCUGCUGCUGCUGCUGCGAACCAUUCUGGAUACUACUGAAAAUUUCCCCCCAUGCCCACUACAAGUAAAUAUUGCAUUUAGAGUGGGACAGUCACUAGGAGACUGAUUAGUCCAUUAUUAAAUAUUUAACGCUUAGCAUUUUAAUAGCAUUAACUAAACCUCACAAAUUAAGAGAAAAGAAAAGGAGUACUUCAUCGGAGUGAGCUGUAGCUCACGAAAGCUUAUGCUCAAAUAAAUUUGUUGGCCUCUAAGGUGCCACAGUACUUCUUUUCUUUUUGUGAAUACAGACUAACACGGCUGCUACUCUGAAACCUGAAAUUAAGAGAAGACGAGCAAGAAUUAUCUGCGUUUUACAGAUGGUGGUGACCUAUUAAAGCUACCAUGCAUGGGAGCAAGAGAGGAGAUUUUAAAAAUUCCACCUAUGAUUUAUCUCUGUAAAUUUGUGCCUAAAUAAAUAAUAGGGCUCUCCCUCUACAAAUCUAACAGGUUCCUUUGGCUGUGAUUGCCCAGUUACCUUUGUGUCUCUCAGAAAUCCAGGCUCCCAUUUCUCUUUAAUUGUGUAAACAGAAGCACAAUUGUAUCAACCAAAGGAUUCAGGUGAAAGUCAUUUGAAGCUUUUAAUUCUUGCAUUCUCCACUCUUGCAUUCCUGACCUUCAGCUACCUUAGCUAUUUCUUCACCAGAUGAGAAUGGAAGAUUUACGCAGUAUGAUAGGAGCAUGUAGGUUGCUCAGCAGCAGGCCCAAGAGUCAGUUCCUUGAGGCUCUAAAAUCUCUUUAACUAAAAGGAUUUCCCCUCUCAUCAAAUGUGUUGGUAAAACAUUACCUCAAUGAAGUGAUCUUUAAUGGCUUAAAACUUUUUUGUGGGUAUAAGAAAAGGAAGAAAUGCUCCUGUAUUUACAGGAAGGUCCCGUAAUUCUGUCGUUUGUUUCAGCUCCAUGAUGAAUUACUGAGUCUUUUUUCAGAAGGAUCCAGCAUUUCCUCCUAACACUUUCAUGUUUAACACAUAACCCAACAAUCCAGUGCUUUGCAGUGUGUGUAUUAAAUAAACCUCUCCCCAGUUUUUUGGACCUAGCACCAAGGAUACUGCUAAAAUCCACUUUUGGCACAUGAUGGAAAGAGAGAGAGCAGGAGUGCUAGUUUGAGACUUACUGCUCUAGUUAUGAUCAGUCCUCAUCUCCAUUUUAAAAUGUUACUGUGUUUGUUCACAAACAUGUUCAAUCAAAUUAGCUGACAGGAAGCUGUGAAUGCAACUGAGCAGACAGUGUAAACCAGGACAGACCAUAAUCAAACUUUACUGGGACCAGCGGAAGGCUGCUGAUUUCCUGUCAAAAGGGAGAUAAGAGAGAGAAGGGUGGAUGUUAGAGGCAAAUUGGGUACAAGUUCAGGUGCCUCUGGCUCUCUCGGCCUGCGUGCUAGCCUGCUACUUUGGGGACAGUGGCUGAAACAAACCUUUUAUACUAGGGGCCUUAAAGGGCCAGGAGAGAUUUUGCAAUUAUAUCUUGUUUUAAAAUAUACUGCAUAAUACAGGUGCUCUGCCCUGGUAGGCCAAGUCCCUUGCUUGACUAACCACUCUUCUGUCCCAUUCUCAGUAUACUUUUGAACUAGGCAGCUGGGUUAAACAUGAUUCACUCUCAAGCCCCUUCCUAGCACACAAAUAAUAAUCCUAUGUUUGUUUCUGCUUCAUCAGGAAAGGCAUUCUAGGAACAGAGACUGUUUUUUAUCACCACCAAGCACAGUGCCUGUGAAUAGAGAUCCACAAGUUCUUUUCAGAUCCAGACCAGAAAAGACAUCUUGGGAAAUAGCUCUUGGGGAAAAAUAUUCUCUGUUCCUGCAACUACAUUUCAUCUGAUCAUUUCCUCUGCUGUGAAUAAUUAGCACCUAAAUACGCCUGUCCUUAUUUCCAUUGAUAGAUGCCCAAUUUAUUUAUAUACAAGUAUUUAAAAAAGCAAGCUUGUCCAGUAACAACAAGGUCCUCGAAUCAUUCCUCAGGCUGUCAGGAUUAAUUUUCAUGUAUGUAGUAUGUUU
Dermochelys coriacea (leatherback sea turtle) is the source of this 4957-nucleotide long non-coding RNA. RefSeq lists it as uncharacterized. NCBI's taxonomy places the organism in Eukaryota, Metazoa, Chordata, Testudines, Dermochelyidae. The record is from RefSeq and is a predicted model, not a curated record. The transcript is spliced from 2 exons.